CGGGCGGGCCGCGGCCGGCUUCAGUAGCAUCCUGGCUGCCAUGGUAACCGAUCGGAGCCCCAGUAUUACAUUGCUGGGGCUCCUAUCAGAAGCUUCCACUGCCACCAAUGAGGAGGAGGGGAGGGGACCCUGUGGCCACUGCCACCAAUGAUUUUAAUACUGGGGGGCGCGCACUGCGCCACCAAU
Molecule: long non-coding RNA, 186 nt
Organism: Bufo bufo (common toad)
Lineage: Eukaryota; Metazoa; Chordata; Amphibia; Anura; Bufonidae
Exons: 3
Source: RefSeq, a predicted model, not a curated record